UACAAGGGAAUACCUAUCCUGCGGGGAA
Molecule: small RNA, 28 nt
Filed under: Bombyx mori (domestic silkworm)
Lineage: Eukaryota; Metazoa; Arthropoda; Insecta; Lepidoptera; Bombycidae
Description: ovarian small RNA-20104
Source: RNAcentral